UACGGAGGGUGCAAGCGUUAUCCGGAAUCACUGGGUUUAAAGGGUGCGUAGGCGGAGGGGUAAGUCAGUUGUGAAAUGCCCCGGCUUAAUCGGCGGAACUGGGAUUGAUACUGCAUCACUUGAAUCAGGAUGAGGUAGGCGGAAUGUGGCAUGUAGCGGUGAAAUGCUUAGAUAUGCCAUAGAACACCGAUUGCGAAGGCAGCUUGCUCGGCCUGAAUUGACGCUGAGGCACUAAAGCGUGGCGAGCACACAGG
RNAcentral lists this ribosomal RNA (254 nucleotides) under uncultured bacterium. RNAcentral's name for it is "partial 16S ribosomal RNA". It matches the Rfam family "Bacterial small subunit ribosomal RNA", at positions 524 to 776 of the family's 1533-position model. The record is from RNAcentral.